CAUUAUAUUUUUUUUCAAAAACAGGGGGAGAUUUCCCACACAAAACAAAGAAUCCCUAUUGGACACAGAAUUUUUAAAACCCUUAAUAGAAAACACUAUUUCCCUAUUUUACAGAGAAUUUUUAAAACACUAAUUUUCUCGAUCUCAUAAAACAGCCUUCAUUAUGCUUUCUUGAGACUUUACUUACCCUCCAAAAAUUCUGCAGUUCCUUUACAACCAAAUAUGAAAUAUCCCUGUUGAGCUGGGCUCUUUUGCAGAGAAUAGUCUGACUGGAGUUAGCUUUGAGAGUCUAUGUAUACGAGGAGGCAUAAGUUACUUUCGGCUCAAAAGAAAAAAAUUAAUGUUACUAUUUGCAACGGUAAAGCACUGUCUAACAGUGUGACCUUGAUCGAAAAUCCAUCCUUUCUGUACCAAGGAAAAUGCAUGGCAUGCAUUUUUUUUUCCUAUGAUAGUGAUAAAAUGAGACUUUCGAAGGGAAGGGUCUAGCUUGGACUGGCAGCUUUAGGAAGAGUAGGUGAAAAGUGUUAGAUUUGAUUGGAGGACAGCUACUUAAUUGAUUUGGUAGAAAUGUGAAUAGGUAGAUGCAUGCUUCUAGCUUAAGCAAUUCUCUUUAUAAACCCCCAUAAACCCUCGCCUUAUAUAAGUCCCCAAAGAGCCAGUAGAAACUUUUGUUAUUGCAUGUUGUGUAUAUUGUGCAAGACAAAAACUCUAAAGUGGAGAGAGAGAGAGAGAGAGAGAGAGAGAGAGAGAAGCUUGUUUUAGUGGGCGGAGACGGUGGUGGCCGGUGAUCGGAGAGAGCUAGCUAGUGAUCGAUGGGCCCGGGAGGACCAGGAGGAGGGCCGGGAGGACCAGGACCUGGUGCACCAGGACCUUUCUUCUGUGGCUUUUUUGACAUGAUUGGUUCUUGUCUGAACUUCGUAUGCUGUUGCUGGUUGCUACAAGAUUGCUUUGGAGGUGGGCCUCCCGGACCCCCCGGCCCACCCGGACCACCUCCUCCAUGAAUCAUCUGCCUGCUUCCCGGCCAUGCAGUUCCUACCAUACAGACAGUACUACUGCAUGCUACUGCUAUUUUAAUUUACAUCUAUGAUCUAUGUAUUAUGCAAAAAUUAAUUUGGAACAAAAGGACUCGUAUUCUUGAGACUUGAGAGACAUUAAUUUAUCCCUGGUUUUUUGUCUGCCAGUCAGUUAAAUGUCCCUUUAUCGAUGGAUGUUUGACAUCUGUAUGAAUUGAAUAAAUCAAAACCGUCGGACCCAUCACCCAUGGCCCAUGGCCCAUGGCCCAUGGGCGUGGUGUACGUUCUUAUCCUCUA
Molecule: long non-coding RNA, 1310 nt
Organism: Alnus glutinosa
Lineage: Eukaryota; Viridiplantae; Streptophyta; Magnoliopsida; Fagales; Betulaceae
Exons: 2
Source: RefSeq, a predicted model, not a curated record